This 740-nucleotide ribosomal RNA is filed under the name Coprothermobacter sp. enrichment culture. RNAcentral's name for it is "bacterial SSU rRNA". It matches the Rfam family "Bacterial small subunit ribosomal RNA", at positions 28 to 774 of the family's 1533-position model. The record is from RNAcentral. Lineage: Bacteria; Pseudomonadati; Coprothermobacterota; Coprothermobacteria; Coprothermobacterales; Coprothermobacteraceae.
GACGAACGCUGGCGGCGUGCCUAAUGCAUGCAAGUCGAGCGGGCUACAGUCUUCGGAUUGUAGUUUAGCGGCGAACGGGUGAGUAACACGUAGGUAAUCUACCCUUCAGAGGAGGACAACCUCAGGAAACUGGGGCUAAACCUCCAUGUGUUCAUUAUCAGGAAUGAUAAUGAAGAAAGAGUUACCGUAGAGGUAGCUGCUGAAGGAUGAGCCUGCGGCCCAUCAGGUAGUUGGUGAGGUAACGGCUCACCAAGCCGAAGACGGGUAACCGGUCUGAGAGGAUGUCCGGUCACACUGGGACUGAGACACGGCCCAGACUCCUACGGGAGGCAGCAGCAGGGAAUCUUGGGCAAUGGGCGAAAGCCUGACCCAGCGACGCCGCGUGGAGGAAGAAGUCCUUCGGGGCGUAAACUCCUGGACUGGGGGACGAGGAAGGACGGUACCCCAGUAGAAAGGGACGGCUAACUACGUGCCAGCAGCCGCGGUAAAACGUAGGUCCCGAGCGUUGUUCGGAUUCACUGGGUGUAAAGGGCGCGUAGGUGGUUGUCUGUGUCUCAUGUGAAAACUCAGGGCUCAACUCUGAGAUGGCGUGGGAAACUAGGCAGCUAGAGGACGGUAGAGGGGAGUGGAAUUCCCGGUGUAGCGGUAAAAUGCGUAGAUAUCGGGAGGAACACCCGGUGGCGAAGGCGGCUCUCUGGGCCGAUCCUGACGCUGAGGCGCGAAAGCUAGGGGAGCGAACC